UACAGAGGGUGCAAGCGUUAAUCGGAAUUACUGGGCGUAAAGCGUGCGUAGACGGUUAUGUAAGUCGGGUGUGAAAGCCCCGGGCUCAACCUGGGAAUGCCAUUCGAGACUGUGUAGCUAGGGUACGGAAGAGGGAAGCGGAAUUUCAGGUGUAGCGGUGAAAUGCGUAGAUAUCUGAAGGAACACCAGUGGCGAAAGCGGCUUCCUGGUCCAGUACCGACGUUCAGGCACGAAAGCGUGGGGAGCAAACAGG
RNAcentral lists this ribosomal RNA (253 nucleotides) under uncultured bacterium. RNAcentral describes it as "partial 16S ribosomal RNA". It matches the Rfam family "Bacterial small subunit ribosomal RNA", at positions 524 to 776 of the family's 1533-position model. The record is from RNAcentral.